CUUGAAUUUACUCUCUACUGUGCCAGCAAUUACAUUGGUGCAGAUAUUUUUUUUCAUUAUCUUGUAUCCUAUUGGAAUAACGGGUGAGCUUAUUUCCUGUUACUGUGCUCUACCCUACUACAGCACAACUCAGGAAAUUUCAGUUUUACUACCAAAUAAGUGGAAUUUAACAUUCAACUUCUGAUUGUACACAGUGCUACAGGCUUCAUUCCCAACAAUGUUGGAAUUACUUUCGCUCAAGU
Long non-coding RNA from Daphnia pulicaria, 242 nucleotides. RefSeq lists it as uncharacterized. The transcript has 3 exons. Lineage: Eukaryota; Metazoa; Arthropoda; Branchiopoda; Diplostraca; Daphniidae. The record is from RefSeq and is a predicted model, not a curated record.